This 274-nucleotide ribosomal RNA is filed under the name uncultured Burkholderiales bacterium. RNAcentral describes it as "partial 16S ribosomal RNA". It matches the Rfam family "Bacterial small subunit ribosomal RNA", at positions 505 to 778 of the family's 1533-position model. The record is from RNAcentral. Lineage: Bacteria; Pseudomonadati; Pseudomonadota; Betaproteobacteria; Burkholderiales.
GUGCCAGCCGCCGCGGUAAUACGUAGGGUGCAAGCGUUAAUCGGAAUUACUGGGCGUAAAGCGUGCGCAGGCGGUUAUGCAAGACAGAGGUGAAAUCCCCGGGCUCAACCUGGGAACUGCCUUUGUGACUGCAUGGCUAGAGUACGGUAGAGGGGGAUGGAAUUCCGCGUGUAGCAGUGAAAUGCGUAGAUAUGCGGAGGAACACCGAUGGCGAAGGCAAUCCCCUGGACCUGUACUGACGCUCAUGCACGAAAGCGUGGGGAGCAAACAGGAU